GGAUUGUAAAUUGGUGCAACCACCACGGAAAACAGUAUGGAGAUGCCUCAGAAAACUAAAAAUAGAAGUACCAUUUGAUCCAGCAAUCCCACUCCUGGGCAUCUAUCCAGAGAAAACUAUGACUUGCAAAGACACAUGUACUCCAAUGUUCAUUGCAGCACUAUUUGCAAUAGCCAAGACAUGGAUACAACAUAAAUGUCCAUCGACAGAAGAGUGGAUCAAGAAGAAGUGGUACAUAUACACAAUGGAAUAUUACUCUGCCAUUAAAACGAACAAAAUACUGCAUUUUUAGCAACAUGGAUGGACCUAGAAAUUAUCAUGCUAAGUGAAGUCAGCCAUACAAUGAGACACCAACAUCCAAUGCUUUCACUGACAUGUGGAAUCUGAAAAAAGGACAGACGGAACUUCUUUGCAGAACAGAUGCUGACUCACAGUCAUUGAAAAACUUAUGGUCUCUGGAGGAGACAGUUUGGGGGGUGGGGGGAUGUGCUUGGGCUGUGGGAUGGAAAUCCUGUGAAAUCAGAUUGUUAUGAUCAUUAUACAACUACAGAUGUGAUAAAUUCAUUUGAGUAAUAAAAAAUAAAGUAAAAAUAAUUAAAUAAAAGGAAUUUUUCCAUGGAAAAUAAAAUCAUGGACAUGGAGAACUGACUUGUGGUUGCCAAGGAGGAAGGGGAGGGAGUGGGAUGGACUGGAAAUUUAGGGUUAAUUGAUGCAAACUAUUGCCUUUGGAAUGGACAAGCAAUGAGAUCCUGCUGAAUAGCACUUGGAACUAUAUCUAGUCAUUUAUGACAGAGCAUGAUAAUGUGAGAAGAAAACAAUGUAUACAUGUAUGUGUAACUGGGUCACAUUGCUGUACAGUAGAAAAUUUCAAGAACACUGUAAACCAGCUAUAAUGGAAAAAAUAAAAAUAAUUAUUGAAAAAAUAAAAUAAAACAUACGAUCAAUCAUAAUGAGUAAAAAUAAAGUAUGUAGUACCUACUCAAAUUGUAACUGGCAAAAAAAGAAGAAAAUGGAUAUAUCUGAAAAAAAGCCUGAUGUAGUCACAAAUUUACUAAGUUAUAAAAGAAGAAUAACAAAUUGUUAGUGGAAGAAAUUAUUAUUUAAUUGAAAUGAUGAAAAAUUAUCUUGCUUCAUUUCUUGAUAAAUUUCAACAGAUUUGAAUUUAAAUGUGAAAAUUUUGACUUUAACAAAGUUCAGUUAAAAUAAUCUUGAAUUAAUAUUUGUCUAAAUAUAACAUUUGUCAAUGCUUGCUUUAAAAAUUAAACUGGGAGUUCCCGUCGUGGCGCAGUGGUUAACGAAUCCGACUAGGAACCAUGAGGUUGCAGGUUCGGUCCCUGCCCUUGCUCAGUGGGUUAACGAUCCGGCGUUGCUGUGAGCUGUGGUGUAGGUUGCAGACACGGCUCGGAUCCAGCGUUGCUGUGGCUCUGGCGUAGGCCAGUGGCUACAGCUCCGAUUGGACCCCUAGCCUGGGAACCUCCAUAUGCCGCGGGAGCGGCCCAAAGAAAUAGCAAAAAGACAAAAAAAAAUAAAUAAAUAAAUAAAAAUAAAAAUUAAACUACAACAAAACAAAACAUUAUACAAAAGUCCCAUAAUGUACCACUAGUGACAUCUUCCAACACCUUCUUCAUUAUUGACUGUUGCAUUUAAGGUAUUGUCAAUUUGAGAAGUGAAAAAUGCAGUCUCAUUUUCUGCAAUGGCAAAAACUCUUUUAACAAUCCCAAUGACUUUGUACUGCCAGUCUCUGAGGACGCUAAAACAAUCAAAUGAAUUUUCUCCUUUAUUCCUCCUGUCAAGGGAUGCCUUUAUAUACUCUUGUCUUUUGAAGUUCAAAGCAGAAAAUGAAAUCACUGGAUGAUGAAGACUAGACAUCUAGGAUUUCAUAUUGAUGUUAUUUCUGAAGUCCAAGUGCAACUGGUAGGUUACAUAAUCCUGAUAUGUUACCCUACCCAUAUACCACAUCUAUCAUACUGGUUUCAUCUACAAUGUAAGUGUGUCCAUACUGAUAAAAUUCAAAUGCCAAAGUAAUAACUGAGAGGAGGGCUGCAAAGAGGAAAUUAUCCUGGAGAAAACUGAUUUUUAUACAAAUGGAAAAUAGAUACAAAAAUCACUGUAAUUGUGAUCACUGGGAAUUAAGAUAAUGAUACAGUAAUCCAGGGCAAAUAAAUUAUGCUUAGGGAAAAGGAUAUGUUUUCAAGGUGUUUUAAUUGUUUGCUUAUACUGGUCAGGUUGAAUGACUUUAUGCUUUAAAUUAUUGCAAAAUGUAGAGGAAGUUUCAUAUUUGUUUCUAGUGAUGCAGUUAUUUUUAAAGAGAGAUAAUAGACAUAAGGAUAAAAUAUUAGAUUCACGGCUUGGAGAAUCAGAAUUCUCUUACAAAAUAUUGAUGCUAUCAUUACACUUGAUAGGAAUUAUGAAAAGGAAUAUAUGGUGAAAUAUCUUAUGACAAUAGUCUGAAUAUAGCCAUAUAUUUAAACAAACAAUAAUCUGUUAAAAAAUGUUUUGAGAGAAAUCAUCUUGUCUAGGACUUCACCUUUGCUAAAUCCAUGAGCACCUACAAAUCUACUUACUUGCAUACUUUAGAAAAACACAUAAGGUCUAAGGGUUGUAGCUUAGAUAAAAAUAAUUGUCUUGCAUUGAGAGUACAAAGCACUAAAAAGGAAUGAAGACUCACAUGCAAAGACUUCCAUUUUCCAUUACAUUAGUAUGUGAAAGAAAGAAGUUUUAUGCUACUCUGAGUGAUAGUGUCAAAUAUCAUGGUUAGAGUAUGGGCCACUUACAAUAAAAUCUGUGUCUUACGGAUAGUAACCUUACAUAUCCGAGUUCAUAUAAUUAAAUAUUCUUUAUGGUUAACUAGACAUAUUGUACCUUUAAAAUAUAUAUUGUGUGAUUAAAAUAUUAAAGGCACAUAGAUAAUCAAAAAUAUGCUAUUUUCUUUUCUCAUUUUGGCAUUAAGUCUGACUCUAGGCUUUAAAGUAAAAAAAAAAAAAAAGACUGGAGAUGAUCAUGGAGCCUGGAAUAAGACUUGAACAACAGAGCAAAAAUAGAUAAACAAGGGAAGUACUGAAAGAAGUGGACUUAUGUCGAUCAAGGAAUGACUUAAUUCCCUUUACGUAUAUUUUUUAAAAUUUGGUUUAGUUAGGUGAGUCCACCUCAGUAUGUAAGACAAUAUCUGUGAAUUAUUUCCAUUCUUGAAAAAGUUAAAGGUCAAAAGUAAAACACAGAGAAGUAACUAUCCAGAGAUGCUACAUAAAUAAUACAUCAUUCCCUUUCUUUCUUUGGGUUCAUGAUGGUAAAUGAUUCAUUCAUUUUACUACUUAUAUCUCUUUAAGAGAGAAAAGUUGAACAAGACUACUUUGGUAACCUACUAGUUCACAGUCUUAAUUAUAGUGCUUUAUUUCUACACACUCAUGACAUAAAUGAAAAUGUGUCAAUUAAAACAAAAUAUCAAAUACAAAUUAUCAUUUCAUCCAAUUUUGCAAAAGUAGGAUAAGAAUGCAUAGAUGUCAUACACUCACUUGUCUAAUCCCAAAACAGAAGAGUAAGGCCAAUGGUAAAGUGAACAUCUCUAGUUAUCAGAGCCAAUCUGGGUCAUUCAAAUCAAAAGCCUCAGUAAUUAGAUUUGAUCUCAGUAAACUACUUAGGUUUCUCAACAUUCAAAUUUUAACAAUAUGGGUCUUUAAUUUGUUCACUUCAGGAAGCAUAAUGCACAUCAUGUAAUUUCAGUAAUUUUUUUUUUUGUUAUGGCAAAUGUUUUUUUACUGCAUCCUGAGGAUGUCACAAAAUUGUGUUAGUAAUGUACUACCUGAGUCCCACGAAAGAUAAAACCUAUUUCCCUGAUGCUUUCUAAAACUUUUUUCUGCAACUCUAAUAAACUAAAUGUUCCCUCAUAUAUUGUUAUCUGGAGCUGAACACGAAGGAAGACAAGUUUUCUCAAGUGUUUAACUGACUUCACCUUGUACUAAUCAAGACACUAAUUUGAUUUAGUUGGCUCCAAAACCAUCACAUUUUUACAGUCUUCUGAUCCUGAGAAAUAUCUACAACUUCAAAAUACCUACAAGCAAGUUGCAUGACCACAAUGGCUGUGU
Molecule: long non-coding RNA, 4082 nt
Filed under: Sus scrofa (pig)
Lineage: Eukaryota; Metazoa; Chordata; Mammalia; Artiodactyla; Suidae
Description: lncRNA (ENSSSCG00000062465.1)
Source: RNAcentral